Hypanus sabinus (Atlantic stingray) is the source of this 748-nucleotide long non-coding RNA. RefSeq lists it as uncharacterized. The record is from RefSeq and is a predicted model, not a curated record. NCBI's taxonomy places the organism in Eukaryota, Metazoa, Chordata, Chondrichthyes, Myliobatiformes, Dasyatidae. The transcript is spliced from 4 exons.
UUAUUGGCUGUUUCCAUUUUUUGGGGUGGAAUUCUGAGAAGAAAUUUCCCUUUGAAAUAUUUCUUUCAUUCAAUAUAGUUGUAACCCAAUUGUGAAGGAAACCAUUGCAGCAGAAACCACAAUGAAUCAACAGGAAAUUCCUAGCGAUGAUUACAUUGGCAAAUAAGCUGUUACAGCUCCACCCAUCUUUUUUCAGCAGUGAAUAAGGGGUGGGCGCAGUGUACUUGAAAAUCAUCAUCAGGUAUUCUUUCUUUCUCUUCCAACUUGGAGAGGCUUGGAAACUGGAAAAGGUUAUGACAGCCAAUGUUGAAAAGUGGAGACAGCUGAUAUGACUUUGCUUUCUCCAACAGAGUAAUAACCCCACUGUGGCAUCCUGUCAUUGGUGGUGCCCCGUCUAUUUCACAAGCAAGAAUGUUGUUAAUAGCCUUGCUGUGCACCUUCUGAACAAGAAUGAGAAGAGUUGCUCAGCCAUACUGUGAAAACUGAAGGAAGGAAUUCUGCAAUGCAGUGCUCUGCUUCUUUGCUGGACCCUCUGCAGUGGGAGGGGCAGUGAUUGCACCCUCCCGGCCAGACACACUCCAUCUGUCAGUAGUUCCUCAUCAAGAUCAAGAUCAAGAUUGUUUAAUGUCAUUUCCAGUGUACAGUUGUUAAGGAUAAUAAAAUAAUUGUUACUCUGGAUGCAAUGCAGCAUAUAAGAAAGACACCAAGAUAAAGAACACAAUAAAACACAAUAAAUGUAAAUAUUUAA